AUGCUUUCUUCUUUGUUGGAUUGCAUGUUAAUUCUGUGUAUUAUUAGUUGAGUUAAUUCUCUGGUUGGGCCCGUGACUCAGUGAUCCGAGUCUUGGCCGGGUGGAUACCCGAUCCGCUAGCUGCCGUCUCUCACUUGCGGCCGAUCCCUGUUGUUGUUUCGAUCCGCUACGGUGUCCGAUCAAGUUCAUCAUGCUUCGUAAAUUCCUUGAUCUUAAUCUGACGGCGGGAGAAAGAAGCCGCAGACCUUACCACGCGUCGGAUCCCUGUCUUUUCGAUCCGCUACUGUGUAUACCAUCAAGUCCGUCAUGCAUUAUAAAUCCCUUUAUCUUAAGCCAACGGCGGGAAGAAAGCGACCCCAAGACUUACCAUCGCGAGCUCAAUAGUCUCUCCGUACCAUCGUUCCCAGCCCCAAACCUAGACGUCGGCCGGGGAUGCGCUCUUUUUGCCACCGCCACCACCACUGGCGGCCAGCGGCCCACUACCACCGCCUCUGAUUUCCUACAAGUCCACUGGGCUUAUUUUCCAGUCAGCACGGUGACAGCGAGUUUGAGAAGAUUUACAUUGCAUGCCCUAAAUCCUUCAUGUCGUUCCCCUGAUCAAGAUAAUGGUGACCUUAGAUGAUGAUUUGCUCAAAACAGCUUAUUCAGUCGUGUACAAGUGUAGAAAAAAAAUAAUUUGUUGGUGAUGAGUUUUCAUCAAAAGAUUGGGAUAAAAUAGUUUGUGGCAAUUGAGAUGUAUGAUCUUGUGUAGCAAUGGACAAAAGCUUUUUGUGCAUAUGCCGAAUAGCUGCAACUAAACCAUGGAGUCCAAUACUCGUAAUAGCGAUCGAUUGGCACUUGUGAUUUUUAUCUGGAAGCAAGCAAAAAUUUUCAAUAAUAUGAUCUAUAUCUACAUGAUGUCCCUGAAUUAGGAGAUUCUUAUGGAAGCAGAGAUAAAAAAAAAAGGUUUUGUUAAAAGGAAUACAGUGUCAUCCUAACAAUGUUUUUGUAAUUAAUGUGGAAAGAUCUGAAAACUCUUAAGGGGGCUAUGUGAGACACAAUUAUUUGUUGCACCUAUUUCUUGGCGAUUCUUCACUUGGAUUAACAUGGAAUACGGUUUUCUUGUUUUUUAGUGGUUAAUGUUGUGAGGAUUGUAUGGAAGAUAUGUUUUUGACUGUUGUCAGCACCACCUCACAAGGCCAUGGGCAAAGAUAUUGAAUGAGGGUGAUCAUGUCAAGACAAUCAAAGACAAAGACAGGAAGGAUGGAUCAGACUUUUGAGAGGCCAAAAGGAUGCAGCAAAAGCAAAGGGAGGUUGGCUCUUGGGAUGAUGGAUCAGCUGGGCUAAAUCCCGUGUGUUUAUUUAAUUCACAAGUGCUGCUUCUCACCAAUCGAAGAGAGAGGGAGCUUUCAGUGCUUCCAUGACGAGGGAGCUAGCGUGGAAGGGAAGCAUUCUUGCAUAGACCCAAUCCAUUGUCAGAUAAAAUGGGUGAAGGAAAGGUCCUACACACACAGCGUCUGCCGCUGAAGUCAGUAUCAACUUUAUAUACUUAAUUACGUGAACAGUAACAAAGCAGAAAAAGACAGGCAAAUUAUUGUCCUUAUGAGCGGUUGAAAGAUAUCCAAACUUGUUCUAUUCGUUUUGGUAAUCUCUUCCUUUCUCCACUUGCCUUGUAUAUAACCAACCUACCUUGAAUGUUC
Molecule: long non-coding RNA, 1679 nt
Organism: Musa acuminata AAA Group (dessert banana)
Lineage: Eukaryota; Viridiplantae; Streptophyta; Magnoliopsida; Zingiberales; Musaceae
Exons: 4
Source: RefSeq, a predicted model, not a curated record